UACGAAGGGGGCUAGCGUUGCUCGGAAUCACUGGGCGUAAAGCGCACGCAGGCGGAUCGUUAAGUCAGGGGUGAAAUCCCGAGGCUCAACCUCGGAACUGCCUUUGAUACUGGCGAUCUUUGAGUCCGGGAGAGGUGAGUGGAACUCCGAGUGUAGAGGUGAAAUUCGUAGAUAUUCGGAAGAACACCAGUGGCGAAGGCGGCUCACUGGCCCGGUACUGACGCUCAUGUGCGAAAGCGUGGGGAGCAAACAGG
RNAcentral lists this ribosomal RNA (254 nucleotides) under uncultured bacterium. RNAcentral's name for it is "partial 16S ribosomal RNA". It matches the Rfam family "Bacterial small subunit ribosomal RNA", at positions 524 to 776 of the family's 1533-position model. The record is from RNAcentral.